Molecule: non-coding RNA, 123 nt
Organism: Picea glauca (white spruce)
Lineage: Eukaryota; Viridiplantae; Streptophyta; Pinopsida; Pinales; Pinaceae
Source: Rfam
GUAUGUGCCUACAACAUAGUGUUAAUGCACUAGAUCUCAUUAUAACUCCACAGUUAAGCGCGCUAAGGAUAGAGUAGUACUAGGAUUGGAGACCACCCCGGAAGUCCUAAUGUUUUACAUGCC